UUUAAUGGCCGCAGUAUUUUGACUGUGCAAAGGUAGCAUAAUCAUUAGUUUCUUAAUUAGAAACUGGAAUGAAAGGUUGGACGAGAAAAUAACUGUCUCUUUAUUAAUUAGUUAGAAUUUUAUUUUUAAGUUAAAAAGCUUAAAUAUUUUUAAAAGACGAGAAGACCCUAUAGAGUUUUAUUAUUAAUUAUAUUAUUUUUAAUAUAGAAAAUUUUUAGAAUAAUAAAUUUAAUAAUUUGAUUGGGGUGAUUAAAAAAUUUAUAUAACUUUUUUUUUAUUUUAACAUUUAUUUAUGAAUUUUUGAUCCAUAUUUUAUGAUUAAAAGAUUAAAUUACCUUAGGGAUAACAGCGUAAUUUCUUUUUAGAGUUCAAAUCGAUAAAGAAGGUUGCGACCUCGAUGUUGGAUUAAAAUUAAAUUUUGGUGUAGAAGCUAAAAUGUUAGGUCUGUUCGACCUUUAAAAUUUUACAUGAUCUGAGUUUAAACCGGUGUGAGCCAGGUUGGUUUCUAUCUUUAAAUAAUUUUUAUAUUUUAGUACGAAAGGACCAAAUAUAAUAAAAAUUUUAUAAUAAUGAAUAUUAUUAAUU
This 585-nucleotide ribosomal RNA is filed under the name Typhloponemys sp. ZMUN 10029226. RNAcentral describes it as "partial 16S ribosomal RNA". It matches the Rfam family "Bacterial large subunit ribosomal RNA", at positions 1923 to 2753 of the family's 2925-position model. Lineage: Eukaryota; Metazoa; Arthropoda; Insecta; Coleoptera; Staphylinidae. The record is from RNAcentral.